RNAcentral lists this ribosomal RNA (253 nucleotides) under uncultured bacterium. RNAcentral's name for it is "partial 16S ribosomal RNA". It matches the Rfam family "Bacterial small subunit ribosomal RNA", at positions 524 to 776 of the family's 1533-position model. The record is from RNAcentral.
UACAGAGGGUGCAAGCGUUGUUCGGAAUUAUUGGGCGUGAAGCGCGUGUAGGCGGCUUAGCAAGUCGGGCGUGAAAGCCCUCGGCUCAACCGAGGAAGUGCACCCGAAACUGCUGAGCUUGAGUGCCGGAGAGGAUGGCGGAAUUCCCCAAGUAGAGGUGAAAUUCGUAGAUAUGGGGAGGAACACCGGUGGCGAAGGCGGCCAUCUGGACGGUAACUGACGCUGAGACGCGAAAGCGUGGGUAGCAAACAGG